GAUGAACGCUGGCGGCGUGCCUAAUACAUGCAAGUCGAGCGAACGGACGAGAAGCUUGCUUCUCUGAUGUUAGCGGCGGACGGGUGAGUAACACGUGGAUAACCUACCUAUAAGACUGGGAUAACUUCGGGAAACCGGAGCUAAUACCGGAUAAUAUUUUGAACCGCAUGGUUCAAAAGUGAAAGACGGUCUUGCUGUCACUUAUAGAUGGAUCCGCGCUGCAUUAGCUAGUUGGUAAGGUAACGGCUUACCAAGGCAACGAUGUAUAGCCGACCUGAGAGGGUGAUCGGCCACACUGGAACUGAGACACGGUCCAGACUCCUACGGGAGGCAGCAGUAGGGAAUCUUCCACAAUGGGCGAAAGCCUGACGGAGCAACGCCGCGUGAGUGAUGAAGGUCUUCGGAUCGUAAAACUCUGUUAUUAGGGAAGAACAUAUGUGUAAGUAACUGUGCACAUCUUGACGGUACCUAAUCAGAAAGCCACGGCUAACUACGUG
RNAcentral lists this ribosomal RNA (497 nucleotides) under uncultured bacterium. Its description in RNAcentral is "partial 16S ribosomal RNA". It matches the Rfam family "Bacterial small subunit ribosomal RNA", at positions 28 to 507 of the family's 1533-position model. The record is from RNAcentral.